UACGGGGGGGGCAAGCGUUGUUCGGAAUUACUGGGCGUACAGGGUUCGUAGGUGGCUUGCUAAGUCAGACGUGAAAUCCCUCAGCUCAACUGGGGAACUGCGUCUGAGACUGGCGAGCUUCAGUGCAGGAGAGGAAUGCGGAAUUCCAGGUGUAGCGGUGAAAUGCGUAGAGAUCGGGAGGAACACCGGUGGCGAAGGCGGCGUUCUGGACUGCAACUGACACUGAGGAACGAAAGCCAGGGGAGCAAACGGG
This 253-nucleotide ribosomal RNA is filed under the name uncultured bacterium. RNAcentral describes it as "partial 16S ribosomal RNA". It matches the Rfam family "Bacterial small subunit ribosomal RNA", at positions 524 to 776 of the family's 1533-position model. The record is from RNAcentral.